Molecule: ribosomal RNA, 1394 nt
Filed under: uncultured Bacteroidota bacterium
Lineage: Bacteria; Pseudomonadati; Bacteroidota
Description: bacterial SSU rRNA
Rfam family: Bacterial small subunit ribosomal RNA
Source: RNAcentral
CUUAACACAUGCAAGUCGAGGGGUAACAGGAGUAGCUUGCUACUUGCUGACGACCGGCGCACGGGUGCGUAACGCGUAUACAAUCUGCCUCAUACUGAGGGAUAGCCUUUGGAAACGAAGAUUAAUACCUCAUGGUAUUAUUGAGUGGCAUCACUUAAUAAUUAAAGGUUACGGUAUGAGAUGAGUAUGCGUCCUAUUAGCUAGAUGGUGUGGUAACGGCAUACCAUGGCGACGAUAGGUAGGGGUCCUGAGAGGGAGAUCCCCCACACUGGUACUGAGACACGGACCAGACUCCUACGGGAGGCAGCAGUGAGGAAUAUUGGACAAUGGAGGCAACUCUGAUCCAGCCAUGCCGCGUGAAGGAAGACUGCCCUAUGGGUUGUAAACUUCUUUUAUAUAGGAAGAAACACUUCUACGUGUAGAAGCUUGACGGUACUAUAUGAAUAAGCACCGGCUAACUCCGUGCCAGCAGCCGCGGUAAUACGGAGGGUGCAAGCGUUAUCCGGAAUCAUUGGGUUUAAAGGGUCCGUAGGCGGAUAAAUAAGUCAGAGGUGAAAUCCUGCAGCUCAACUGUAGAACUGCCAUUGAUACUGGAAAUCUUGAGUACAAAUGAAGUAGGCGGAAUGAGUCAUGUAGCGGUGAAAUGCAUAGAUAUGAACUCAGAACACCAAUUGCGAAGGCAGCUUACUAACAUGUAACUGACGCUGAGGGACGAAAGCGUGGGGGAGCCGAACAGGGAUUAAGAUACCCCUGGGAAGUCCACGCCGUAAACGAUCAUCACUCGCUGUUGGCGAUAUACAGUCAGCGGCCAAGCGAAAGUAUUAAGUGAUGCACCUGGGGAGUACGCCGGCAACGGUGAAACUCAAAGGAAUUGACGGGGGCCCGCACAAAGCGGUGGAGCAUGUGGUUUAAUUCGAGAUACGCGAGGAACCUUUACCAGGGCUUAAAUGUAGUUUGACCGGUCUGGAAACAGACUUUCUCUUCGGAGCAGAUUACAAGGGCGCUGCAUGGUUGUCGUCAGCCCGUGCCGUGAGGUGUUAGGUUAAGUCCUGCAACGAGCGCAACCCCUAUUCUUAGUUGCCAGCGGUUCGGCCGGGGACUCUAAGAAGACUGCCAGCGCAAGCUGAGAGGAAGGUGGGGAUGACGUCAAAUCAUCACGGCCCUUACGUCCUGGGCUACACACGUGCUACAAUGGUAGGGACAGAGAGUUGCCAACCCGCGAGGGUGAGCUAAUCUUCAAACCCUAUCUCAGUUCGGAUCGGAGUCUGCAACUCGACUCCGUGAAGUUGGAAUCGCUAGUAAUCGCAUAUCAGCCAUGAUGCGGUGAAGAAAGUUCCCGGGCCUUGUACACACCGCCCGUCAAGCCAUGGAAGCUGGGGGCGCCUGAAGUCGGU